This 219-nucleotide ribosomal RNA is filed under the name uncultured Methanosaeta sp. Its description in RNAcentral is "partial 16S ribosomal RNA". It matches the Rfam family "Archaeal small subunit ribosomal RNA", at positions 1120 to 1338 of the family's 1478-position model. Lineage: Archaea; Methanobacteriati; Methanobacteriota; Methanomicrobia; Methanotrichales; Methanotrichaceae. The record is from RNAcentral.
CGGAGGAAGGAAUGGGCAACGGUAGGUCAGUAUGCCCCGAAUAUCCCGGGCUACACGCGAGCUACAAUGGUUGGUACAAUGGGUAUCUACCCCGAAAGGGGACGGGAAUCUCCUAAAACCAAUCUUAGUUCGGAUUGAGGGCUGCAACUCGCCCUCAUGAAGCUGGAAUCCGUAGUAAUCGCGUUUCAACAGAACGCGGUGAAUACGUCCCUGCUCCUU